UGGCGACCAUAGCAAGAGUGAACCACCUGAUCCCUUCCCGAACUCAGAAGUGAAACCUCUUAGCGCUGAUGGU
Molecule: ribosomal RNA, 73 nt
Filed under: Acinetobacter baumannii 44839_10
Lineage: Bacteria; Pseudomonadati; Pseudomonadota; Gammaproteobacteria; Moraxellales; Moraxellaceae
Source: RNAcentral